Bradysia coprophila is the source of this 338-nucleotide long non-coding RNA. RefSeq lists it as uncharacterized. NCBI's taxonomy places the organism in Eukaryota, Metazoa, Arthropoda, Insecta, Diptera, Sciaridae. The record is from RefSeq and is a predicted model, not a curated record.
UUCAGUUCGACGUUGAUACCUAGAGUGACAACAUUGAUAGUGAUAAUGAGAACCGGCUUUGUUUUACUCGUUUUGGCAAUUUGUAUGGUCUCACUGGUCACAGCUGAUGACCCUGACCGAAAAUGUGUUGAUGGAAAACACUAUUUUGAUGGCUGCAAUCAGCGUACCUGUGCAAACGGAUACGUAAUUUCCACUGAGAUGUACUGUAGUGGACCUGAUGGAAAAGCACUGCCUGAACUUCCAGCUCCAGCCGACUUUUAUGAAAAUUAAUGAACAAUUCACUGAUAUGUUCCAACUAAAAAUUGACAUCAUGAAUAAACCAGUCACAUCUUCAGUAU